This 76-nucleotide transfer RNA is filed under the name Magnetovibrio blakemorei. RNAcentral's name for it is "tRNA-Val". It matches the Rfam family "tRNA". Rfam says of the family: Transfer RNA (tRNA) molecules are approximately 80 nucleotides in length. Their secondary structure includes four short double-helical elements and three loops (D, anti-codon, and T loops). Further hydrogen bonds mediate the characteristic L-shaped molecular structure. tRNAs have two regions of fundamental functional importance: the anti-codon, which is responsible for specific mRNA codon recognition, and the 3' end, to which the tRNAs corresponding amino acid is attached (by aminoacyl-tRNA synthetases). tRNAs cope with the degeneracy of the genetic code in two manners: having more than one tRNA (with a specific anti-codon) for a particular amino acid; and 'wobble' base-pairing, i.e. permitting non-standard base-pairing at the 3rd anti-codon position. The record is from RNAcentral. Lineage: Bacteria; Pseudomonadati; Pseudomonadota; Alphaproteobacteria; Rhodospirillales; Magnetovibrionaceae.
GGGCGGUUAGCUCAGCUGGUAGAGCAUCUCGUUUACACCGAGAAUGUCGGCGGUUCGAACCCGUCACCGCCCACCA